This 2594-nucleotide long non-coding RNA is filed under the name Canis lupus familiaris (dog). Its description in RNAcentral is "lncRNA (ENSCAFG00000051963.1)". Lineage: Eukaryota; Metazoa; Chordata; Mammalia; Carnivora; Canidae. The record is from RNAcentral.
GGCCUCGGGGCUUUCCGAGCCGCCGCCCUCCUAGCGGCAGGAAGGCUGCAGCAGCUCCGCGAUGCUGAUGCUCGGGCUGGAGAACGCCGCGCCCACGCCUCCCGUCCCUUCAAGCCCACCACUCCGUCCUGGGGCCCAGCCCUCCGCAGCCCCGCUGCACCGCCCGCCCCGCCCAGCCCAGCCCAGCUGCUGCACCGCCCUGCAGCCUGCACACAAGCCCCGGCCCAGGGCAACACCUACCCGGAGAUCCCGGGGCCGCCUCUCUGGGACUACAACUCCCAGAAAUCCGCUCCCCAGCCGGCUCGCCGGCGCCGAUUGGCUCGCUGCGCCAUCCAUCAACCACCAACCACCGGAAGACGGCUGCGGACGGCGCGCCACGGCCAAUCACGAGAGCGAGGGGGCGGGAGCUCCCCCAGCCGGUCCGACGCUCGGAGUGCAGGCGUGGCGGGACGCCGAAGGAGUCGGUUCUUCGGAGAGCCACGGCGAGUCAGUGGUCGGAGAGUUGACAGGCCGGCCCUGCGCGGAGUGAUGGCCUGGGGCAGAAGCCCCGUUUUGCCCAGAAGACUCCGGAGUCCGCUCCGCCGGCUGCUGCCCUCGGCGCCAGGCCCAGCGGCCUUCGCCCCGCCCCCCGUCUCUCAUUGGCUCCCCCGGGACACGUGGGGGGAAGGAGGCGUGGCCACCGCGGCUGGGGCUGGCGGCCUGCGGCCGGCGGGGAUGAGAGGCCCGCGGACUCGGGCCUGGGGCCGCAUGGCAACCGUGGUGCCGGGCUGCUGGCGACGGCGGAGGGCGGAGGAGCUUCAGGUUCCGGGGGACGCGAAACGGGCAUGCAGGAGAGGAGAAGCAGCCGGGCCAGAGUGGGGCCGAGCCCCUGUGAAGCUCAGUGCCCCAGUGUCCUGCAGCGGCGAGGGGCUGCCACGUGUGGGGAUUCCUCAGAACGGCGGAAGGAGCUGGGCCCAGCCUUGCCCGAGAUGUAUGGCGGGGGAGUCUGGACAUCUUAACCACACCGAGAACCAUUAAGGAGCAAGCUGGAAGGUUCCAGUUUGGGUCUCAAGACGUCCAUGUGCCAACAAGUGUCAAUCUCACAGAUGGACCUGGGCACCCACCUGUUGGAAUCACCGGUUCAGGAGAUCCCAUCGCCUACCGCGCUAGAGCCAGGAGGACCCCCAUCACCUCAUAGGAGCCUUCGGACUGUUGGCACCUGCUGCACCCUUCAGAUGUAUCUUCUUGACAAGGAAAUCAUUUGCAUCAUGUAAAAGUUAAAGAACAUUUCAGUGUCAAAUUUCCUAUGAAGUUAGAGAACCCUGUGGCUCAUGGAACCAUAUCCAGAUGUAGCUCUGCUUUCAGACUCUCCAGUAGUUUUGUGGUUGUACCCAGGGCUCCUUAUAUGCUCAUUUUUAAUUAAAAGAUUUAUUUUUAUAUUUAAAAUACUCUAUAAUCUUAAACUGAAUUUUACUAAAUGUUGGUGUCCAUUCCGUUCUGUGUAAUUCCCCAAAUGAAGUUAUCGGGCACAGGGCCUCUUUUAUAUUAAAAUUGAAAUUUCUCACUUUUCUUGGGUUUUCAAUGCAUCAUCUGACUGUGGAGACGGGUGUCACUUUCCCUGGAUCUGAAGGCUUCCUGAGAUGUCCUAGUACUUACCAGACACGGUCCUCACAAAAUCACUGGGUUCCAGCUCCACUCUCAGGCUCUUUACCCUUCCAAGGCCAGGGUGGUGGGCAGAGGCCCUGCACUCCCUGCCUGGUCAUCUCAUGCCCAUGGCCUGUUCCCUGCCAGCGGCUGUCCCUCAGCACCGACAUCCGCAGGGCCAGCCCGCCAGCGGUCACGGCAUGUGGUCAUGGAGGGACUUCACGUGGCGCAGAAGGGCAGACCGGGUGUUGGGAGGAAACCCGUACGACACCAGCUGUGCUGUGGAUUAUCCGGGAUCACAGGGCACUGCUGUGUCGCAGGAAAGAGGAGACUGCCUCCGGCAUCCGGGGAGGUCACAAGUCCUGUGGCCCAGAGUCAGGUCACCAACUGCCGGGGAUGAGCCAGCCGUCCUCACCAGGAUGACCAGGCCUGGAGCGGCGAGCCUGAGGUCUGUGGCCGUGAAACAGGUGCCAUCAGGGAGCUUUCUUGUGCUCCUCUCUGCUAAAGGAGACGCGUCGUAAUUCUUAGAGAAACCGUGGGGGCGCAGAGCUUCUUAGAUUCACAGCAUUCCUUUUUGUGCGUCAGCCCGUCCGUUUCGCCCAGAUUCACGGGGAGAGGAGGAGGCCGCACGUUUACUUAGUUGUGCUGGGGAACGAGCGCACACAUCGCCGCGGCUACUUGGUGAAGAAAGCUUGUUCCGUGGAGAGUAAGCCCCCUGCCCCUUCCUGCCUGGUGGGAGGCACCCCGUGCAGAGCCAGCCAGAUGGGGUGCAAGGCUCACGUCCCCCAGGGUGUCUGUGGGAGGGGGUGAUGGCCCACAGGGUUUGCUGGGAGCAGAGAGAGGCAUGCACGCAUGGCCUGGGUGACCCUCGGUGGUCGCCCCUGUGCCCCAGUGCGCGACCCCUCAAACCCCAAAGCGGACACCCCUCUGGGAAGCCAGAGGACAGGAAAGCUUAGAGCAGCAGGGACAAU